CUAUAAUGCAAGUCGAGCGGACCGACGGGAGCUUGCUCCCUUAGGUCAGCGGCGGACGGGUGAGUAACACGUGGGUAACCUGCCUGUAAGACUGGGAUAACUCCGGGAAACCGGGGCUAAUACCGGAUGCUUGAUUGAACCGCAUGGUUCAAUCAUAAAAGGUGGCUUUUAGCUACCACUUACAGAUGGACCCGCGGCGCAAUAGCUAGUUGGUGAGGUAACGGCUCACCAAGGCGACCAUUCGUAGCCCACCUGAGAGGGUGAUCGGCCACACUGGGACUGAGACACGGCCCAGACUCCUACGGGAGGCAGCAGUAGGGAAUCUUCCGCAAUGGACGAAAGUCUGACGGAACAACGCCCCGUGAGUGAUGAAGGUUUUCGGAUCGUAAAACUCUUUUGUUAGGGAAGAACAAGUACCGUUCGAAUAGGGCGGUACCUUGACGGUACCUAACCAGAAAGCCACGGCUAACUACGUGCCAG
Molecule: ribosomal RNA, 480 nt
Filed under: Bacillus sp. (in: firmicutes)
Lineage: Bacteria; Bacillati; Bacillota; Bacilli; Caryophanales; Bacillaceae
Description: bacterial SSU rRNA
Rfam family: Bacterial small subunit ribosomal RNA
Source: RNAcentral